RNAcentral lists this ribosomal RNA (230 nucleotides) under uncultured bacterium. Its description in RNAcentral is "partial 16S ribosomal RNA". It matches the Rfam family "Bacterial small subunit ribosomal RNA", at positions 104 to 334 of the family's 1533-position model. The record is from RNAcentral.
CGGGGUGGAGUAAUGUCUGGGAAACGGCCUGAUGGCGGGGGAUAACUACUGGAAACGGUAGCUAAUACCGCAUAAUGUCUGCGGACCAAAGCGGGGGACCUUCGGGCCUCUUGCCAUCGGAUGUGCCCAGAUGGGAUUAGCUAGUAGGUGGGGUAACGGCUCACCUAGGCGACGAUCCCUAGCUGGUCUGAGAGGAUGACCAGCCACACUGGAACUGAGACACGGUCCAG